GGGUUGGCUGUUUUUGGCCGUUUUCGGCCGAAUUCGGCCACACUCGCAUCGGUCCUUGUGAGAAAACAACCCUAGGGCCCUCGGGGGGCAAAAAAAUCACAGAAAAACGGAGCUUACCGGCGGCGGCGCUCUCGGGUGCGGCGGCUCUCCAGCGAGGUUCGUGUUUUGGUGAUUCGGCUCCGGUCAAUCUAUAGAGAAAAGAAUGGUGAUCACGGUGAUAUAAAAAUUGCAUCGAACGGAGGCCGGGAAGGGCCUCGUCGGAGGCAAAAACUGAGAGGGGGCGCGGUGGCGUCGCUGGGCUUCGGCCGCGUAUUCCGGCCGUUUGGCCGGGAUUUCAGCCUCGAUUUGGCCAUAGGAGGAAUCAGCGUGGAAAAACAAGUCAGGGGUACGAAAUUUACCUCGAUCGGCGGUCGGAAGUUCCU
This 422-nucleotide long non-coding RNA is filed under the name Carica papaya (papaya). Its description in RNAcentral is "long non-coding RNA (CPAP_LNC001858)". Lineage: Eukaryota; Viridiplantae; Streptophyta; Magnoliopsida; Brassicales; Caricaceae. The record is from RNAcentral.